RNAcentral lists this ribosomal RNA (286 nucleotides) under uncultured Oscillospiraceae bacterium. RNAcentral's name for it is "partial 16S ribosomal RNA". It matches the Rfam family "Bacterial small subunit ribosomal RNA", at positions 1100 to 1382 of the family's 1533-position model. The record is from RNAcentral. Lineage: Bacteria; Bacillati; Bacillota; Clostridia; Eubacteriales; Oscillospiraceae.
AACCCCUGUCGGUUAGUUGCCAGCAAGUAGCGUUGGGCACUCUAGCCAGACUGCCGGUGAUAAAUCGGAGGAAGGUGGGGACGACGUCAAAUCAUCAUGCCCUUUAUGUCCUGGGCUACACACGUACUACAAUGGCCGUUACAACGGGAAGCGAAGGAGCAAUCCGGAGCAAAUCCCUUAAAGGCGGUCCCAGUUCAGAUUGUGGGCUGAAACUCGCCCACAUGAAGGCGGAAUUGCUAGUAAUUGCAGAUCAGCAUGCUGCCAGUCGAAUACGUUCCCGGGCCUU